AACUAACGCUGGCGGCGUGCCUAACACAUGCAAGUCGUACGAGAAAGCCGGCUUCGGCUGGUGAGUAAAGUGGCGCACGGGUGAGUAACGCGUGGAUAAUCUGCCCUUAAGUGUGGAAUAACGUACCGAAAGGUGCGCUAAUACCGCAUAAUGCCUGGCAACACAAGUUGUCCGGCCAAAGAAGGCCUCUGUUUACAAGCUUUCGCUUCAGGAUGAGUCCGCGUACCAUUAGCUUGUUGGUGGGGUAAUGGCCUACCAAGGCUGCGAUGGUUAGCUGGUCUGAGAGGAUGAUCAGCCACACUGGAACUGAGACACGGUCCAGACUCCUACGGGAGGCAGCAGUGAGGAAUAUUGCGCAAUGGGGGCAACCCGUGACGCAGCAACGCCGCGUGAGUGAGGAAGGUUUUCGGACUGUAAAGCUCUGUCGAGCGGGAAGAAGUGUACCAUGGCUAAUAUCCAUGAUAUUUGACGGUACCGCUAGAGG
This 484-nucleotide ribosomal RNA is filed under the name uncultured bacterium. Its description in RNAcentral is "bacterial SSU rRNA". It matches the Rfam family "Bacterial small subunit ribosomal RNA", at positions 29 to 487 of the family's 1533-position model. The record is from RNAcentral.